UCUUCCUUCUGCAACUCCUGGGAUGUGGUGGAGCACAGCGGGGGCAAGGAGGAGCAGACACACCCACAAGCCAGCAGCCCAGGGCAGUUCGAUGGCCAUGCUCAGGACCCACGCACCGGCAGGGACUAUCUCUUCAGCAGCGUGACCGGGGCUCGGCGCUGGAUCUGAAGGGCUUGACUUGACGAAGGGCUCCUUGUGCCUCACAGCUCCACGGGGGAAGUGCUGGGCAGAGCACCGGGCACUGGCAGACGGCUGCUACGGCCCCCGAGGAAGAGACCCAUCCUUUGUGACCAAACCUGCUGCACACGGGGUGCAGCCACACCCUGAGCCACCUCAGCCCAUGUAGAGCUAAUAAACGUGUCAGAGAUUGCA
This 372-nucleotide long non-coding RNA is filed under the name Serinus canaria (Common canary). Its description in RNAcentral is "lncRNA (ENSSCAG00000013272.1)". The record is from RNAcentral. Lineage: Eukaryota; Metazoa; Chordata; Aves; Passeriformes; Fringillidae.